UACGGAGGAUGCGAGCGUUAUCCGGAUUUAUUGGGUUUAAAGGGUGCGUAGGUGGCAAGGCAAGUCAGAUGUGAAAACCCGGGGCCCAACCCCGGGAGUGCAUUUGAAACUGACUGGCUAGAGUGCAGGAGAGGUAAGUGGAAUUCCUAGUGUAGCGGUGAAAUGCAUAGAUAUUAGGAGGAACACCAGUGGCGAAGGCGGCUUACUGGACUGUAACUGACACUGAGGCUCGAAAGCGUGGGGAGCAAACAGG
RNAcentral lists this ribosomal RNA (253 nucleotides) under uncultured Eubacteriales bacterium. Its description in RNAcentral is "uncultured Clostridiales bacterium partial 16S ribosomal RNA". It matches the Rfam family "Bacterial small subunit ribosomal RNA", at positions 524 to 776 of the family's 1533-position model. The record is from RNAcentral. Lineage: Bacteria; Bacillati; Bacillota; Clostridia; Eubacteriales.